UUGUGGAGGAGGACGCCGAAGGUGGGGCUAAUGACUGGGGUGAAGUCGUAACAAGGUAGCCGUACCGGAAGGUGCGGCUGGAUCACCUCCUAACAGGGAGACAACAAAAUGUUAAAUAUUAAUUUUGUCACCUUAGGUCGAUCGGUAUCUCGCAUUCUUAAUUUAUUAAGGAUUUUAUUUCCUAAGUUUUUUCUAGGUCACACCCAUUAUUUUUCCUGGGCCAUUAGCUCAGGUGGUUAGAGCGCACCCCUGAUAAGGGUGAGGUCCCUGGUUCAAGUCCAGGAUGGCCCAUAUCUCUAUGUUGGGGGUAUAGCUCAGUUGGUAGAGCGCCUGCUUUGCAAGCAGGGUGUCAGCGGUUCGAGUCCGCUUACCUCCACUGAUCACCUCUUCAUAAUUUAUAGAAUGGAAAUGUUUUGAGUUGUGAUCAAAUUCUGAACGAAUCUAGCUUCCUAAUUAAACUUAUUAAGAUGCUGGACUCAUUGAAUUAAUUUCAUUGUUUUCAGAGAACCUUGACAACUGCAUAGAUUAUUUUUUAAAGACAAUAAGCAUCUUUAAUGAUGCAGAUUUAUUAUUUGUGCGAAUGCAUUAAUAACAAUUCUAUUAAGCUGAUGCUUCAAUUUUUGAAGUUAUUGGUCAAGCUACAA
This 644-nucleotide unclassified non-coding RNA is filed under the name uncultured Prochlorococcus sp. Its description in RNAcentral is "partial 16S-23S ribosomal RNA intergenic spacer; may also contain 16S ribosomal RNA and 23S ribosomal RNA". The stretch from base 1 to 93 matches the Rfam family "Bacterial small subunit ribosomal RNA", at positions 1441 to 1533 of the family's 1533-position model. Lineage: Bacteria; Bacillati; Cyanobacteriota; Cyanophyceae; Synechococcales; Prochlorococcaceae. The record is from RNAcentral.